RNAcentral lists this ribosomal RNA (468 nucleotides) under uncultured bacterium. RNAcentral describes it as "bacterial SSU rRNA". It matches the Rfam family "Bacterial small subunit ribosomal RNA", at positions 328 to 792 of the family's 1533-position model. The record is from RNAcentral.
UGUCCAGACUCCUACGGGAGGCAGCAGUGAGGAAUAUUGGUCAAUGGGCGCGAGCCUGAACCAGCUAAGUCGCGUGAGGGAGGACGGCCCUACGGGUUGUAAACCUCUUUUGCCGGGGAGCAACGGGCGUCACGUGUGGCGCCACUGAGAGUACCCGGAGAAAAAGCAUCGGCUAACUACGUGCCAGCAGCCGCGGUAAUACGUAGGGGGCAAGCGUUAUCCGGAUUUACUGGGUGUAAAGGGAGCGUAGACGGCAUGGCAAGUCAGAUGUGAAAGCCCGGGGCUCAACCCCGGGACUGCAUUUGAAACUGUCAGGCUGGAGUGCAGGAGAGGUAAGUGGAAUUCCUAGUGUAGCGGUGAAAUGCGUAGAUAUUAGGAGGAACACCAGUGGCGAAGGCGGCUUACUGGACUGUAACUGACGUUGAGGCUCGAAAGCGUGGGGAGCAAACAGGAUUAGAUACCCUAGUA